Aethalodelphis obliquidens (Pacific white-sided dolphin) is the source of this 297-nucleotide RNA transcript. It is a transcript of the gene named NADH dehydrogenase [ubiquinone] 1 beta subcomplex subunit 1 pseudogene, with no coding region annotated. The record is from RefSeq and is a predicted model, not a curated record. Lineage: Eukaryota; Metazoa; Chordata; Mammalia; Artiodactyla; Delphinidae. The transcript has a single exon.
AUAUUUUGUGGGUAGUGUCGUUGUUGCUUCCGAGGCUUCAGCAUUCAUGAUGAACUUACUUCAGAUUGUGUGUGACCGCUGGGUACAUAUACUUGUCCCUGUGGGAUUUGUCGUUGGAUGUUAUCUAGACAGAAAGAAUGAUGAAAAGCUAAUUGCCUUCCGGAACAAGAGUCUGUUAUAUAAAAGGGAAUUAAGACCCAGUGAAGAAGUCACCAGGAAGUAAAAGUUGCUGCUGAAUUACAGAAUGUUCACAUUUUUUAAAAUAUAAGAGAAAUAAAAACACAUUCAUUACUUAAA